This 718-nucleotide ribosomal RNA is filed under the name Bipolaris eleusines. RNAcentral's name for it is "eukaryotic LSU rRNA". The stretch from base 1 to 177 matches the Rfam family "Eukaryotic small subunit ribosomal RNA", at positions 1657 to 1831 of the family's 1831-position model. Lineage: Eukaryota; Fungi; Ascomycota; Dothideomycetes; Pleosporales; Pleosporaceae. The record is from RNAcentral.
CCUUUGUACACACCGCCCGUCGCUACUACCGAUUGAAUGGCUCAGUGAGGCGUUCGGACUGGCUCGGGGAGGUUGGCAACGACCACCCCAAGCCGGAAAGUUCGUCAAACUCGGUCAUUUAGAGGAAGUAAAAGUCGUAACAAGGUCUCCGUAGGUGAACCUGCGGAGGGAUCAUUACACAACAAAAUAUGAAGGCCUGGCUUCGCGGCCGGCUGAAAUAUUUUUUCACCCAUGUCUUUUGCGCACUUGUUGUUUCCUGGGCGGGUUCGCCCGCCACCAGGACCAAACCAUAAACCUUUUUUUAUGCAGUUGCAAUCAGCGUCAGUAAAAACAAUGUAAUUAUUACAACUUUCAACAACGGAUCUCUUGGUUCUGGCAUCGAUGAAGAACGCAGCGAAAUGCGAUACGUAGUGUGAAUUGCAGAAUUCAGUGAAUCAUCGAAUCUUUGAACGCACAUUGCGCCCUUUGGUAUUCCAAAGGGCAUGCCUGUUCGAGCGUCAUUUGUACCUUCAAGCUUUGCUUGGUGUUGGGCGUUUUUGUCUCCCUCUUUCUGGGAGACUCGCCUUAAAACGAUUGGCAGCCGGCCUACUGGUUUCGGAGCGCAGCACAUAUUUUGCGCUUUGUAUCAGGAGAAAAGGACGGUAAUCCAUCAAGACUCUACAUUUUUAACUUUUGACCUCGGAUCAGGUAGGGAUACCCGCUGAACUUAAGCAUAUCA